RNAcentral lists this small RNA (1086 nucleotides) under Rattus norvegicus (Norway rat). RNAcentral describes it as "uncharacterized LOC102550180". Lineage: Eukaryota; Metazoa; Chordata; Mammalia; Rodentia; Muridae. The record is from RNAcentral.
GGGAGGAGGAAGGGAAGCAAGGAAAAUCAAGAUGGAGACAACAGAACAGGGUGAUCCAGAUCCAGGUGGACUGGGUCGUUUUCGUCUAGCAAUUAACCAUCACGCGGGUUAAAGCGCUUGCUACUGAAGCAUGAAGAUCUGAAUUUGGAUCUCAAAAGCUCAUGCGAAGCAGAAUGUUGAGGAAGUGUGGCCAGGGUGUGGAGGCCAGGCGUAUGUCCAGGAUAUCCCUGUAUGGAGGUCUAUGAAGCUGUGAAGGUGAAGCCUGGAUUGGGUUGAAAACUCCAAAAUGUUGGAGAUGUCAGGGUUGUGGGAUACCUGCCAAGGAGAGCUGCAGACCAAGUGUGGAACCAACACAGAGAAGUGUGAUGCAGUCAACAAAGCUGAGAGGAGUUGGAGAUCAGAAGACGGCUUUGACGGCAGACAUAGAUGCCGAAUUUGGAGAUGGCCCAGCUGUUCUUCAGUCUUCCUUUGGUCCAGCGUUUCCUCACUGUUCUCCCUUCCCUCCCUUUUGGAAUAGUAAUGUCUGUUCUUUGCCAUUGUAUAUUAGAAGUGUAUAUUCUGCUUUUUUAUUUUGAUUUUACAGGGGGUUACAGCUCGGAGAUUGCCCUGCGUCGUGGAAGAUUUUGAACUUUGGACUUUUACAUGGUGUUGAGACUGAUGAACUGCUGGGACUUUUGAAGUUGGACUAAAUGCAAUUUUUUUGCAUUUUGAUAUGACUCUACGUCUGUGGGGGCCAGAGGGUGGAAUGUGGGGGAUUAAAUAAGAACAAACCCCAAAAGAUCAUGUAUUUGAAUGCAUAGUCACUUGGGAGUGGAAGUGUUUGAUAGGAUUACAAGGUUUAUGAGGUAUGGGAGAAGGUAUAGAACAUGCUUGUUGGAAGAAGCCCAUGCCAAAUCCAGUGCCCUCCCCCCUCCUUGUGGCUCAAGAUGUUGCUAUCAACCACUUUUCUAGCACCAUGCCUGCCUUCGUACCACCAUGCCCCAAACAUACUCCUGCUGCUCCCCUCCACCCCCACAUCUCGCUGAUGAUAAUGGACUAAACCUCUGAAACUGUAUACAAGCCCCCAAUGAAUGAUUUCUCUUCUAA